UACGUAGGGUGCAAGCGUUAUCCGGAAUUAUUGGGCGUAAAGAGCUCGUAGGCGGUUUGUCGCGUCUGCUGUGAAAACCCGAGGCUCAACCUCGGGCCUGCAGUGGGUACGGGCAGACUAGAGUGCGGUAGGGGAGAUUGGAAUUCCUGGUGUAGCGGUGGAAUGCGCAGAUAUCAGGAAGAACACCGAUGGCGAAGGCAGAUCUCUGGGCCGUAACUGACGCUGAGGAGCGAAAGCGUGGGGAGCGAACAGG
RNAcentral lists this ribosomal RNA (253 nucleotides) under uncultured bacterium. RNAcentral's name for it is "partial 16S ribosomal RNA". It matches the Rfam family "Bacterial small subunit ribosomal RNA", at positions 524 to 776 of the family's 1533-position model. The record is from RNAcentral.